RNAcentral lists this unclassified non-coding RNA (520 nucleotides) under uncultured Glomus. RNAcentral's name for it is "SSU rRNA". It matches the Rfam family "Eukaryotic small subunit ribosomal RNA", at positions 569 to 1090 of the family's 1831-position model. The record is from RNAcentral. Lineage: Eukaryota; Fungi; Glomeromycota; Glomeromycetes; Glomerales; Glomeraceae.
CGCAGCCGCGGUAAUUCCAGCUCCAAUAGCGUAUAUUAAAGUUGUUGCAGUUAAAAAGCUCGUAGUUGAAUUUCGGGAUCAAAGAAUCGGUCAUGCCUUGGUAUGUACUGGUUUUAUUGGUUCUCACCUUCUAAAGAACCAUGAUGUCAUUCAUUUGAUGUUAUGGGGAAUUAGGACUGUUACCUUGAAAAAAUUAGAGUGUUUAAAGCAAGCUUACGCUUGAAUACAUUAGCAUGGAAUAAUGAAAUAGGACAUCAGAUUCUAUUUUGUUGGUUUCUAGGAUCGAUGUAAUGAUUAAUAGGGAUAGUUGGGGGCAUUAGUAUUCAAUUGUCAGAGGUGAAAUUCUUGGAUUUAUUGAAGACUAACUACUGCGAAAGCAUUUGCCAAGGAUGUUUUCAUUAAUCAAAGAACGAAAGUUAGGGGAUCGAAGACGAUCAGAUACCGUCGUAGUCUUAACCAUAAACUAUGCCGACUAGGGAUCGGAUGAUGUUAAUUUUUUAAUGACUCAUUCGGCACCUUA